CAAAUACUCCCUCCGUCCGGAAAUACUUGUCAUCAAAAUGGAUAAAACAAAAUGUAUCUAGACGUAUUUUAGUUUUAGAUACAUCUCUUUUUAUCCAUUUUGAUGACAAGUAUUUUCGGACGGAGGGAGUAGAAA
Molecule: non-coding RNA, 135 nt
Organism: Triticum aestivum (bread wheat)
Lineage: Eukaryota; Viridiplantae; Streptophyta; Magnoliopsida; Poales; Poaceae
Source: Rfam